Long non-coding RNA from Aquila chrysaetos chrysaetos, 3654 nucleotides. RefSeq lists it as uncharacterized. The record is from RefSeq and is a predicted model, not a curated record. NCBI's taxonomy places the organism in Eukaryota, Metazoa, Chordata, Aves, Accipitriformes, Accipitridae. The transcript has 2 exons.
ACGGCACUUGACUUCCACCGUGGCCCGGGAUACCCUCUCACCGAUGGUGGAAGGUGAGGAGAGAAAGGCCGUGGGGACUUUGAACCUCGGGUACGAGGGACGAUCGCUGCAAGGUUAAAAGAUAGCAGAGAGUCAAUAACAGGCAGUUGGCAAAGUAGAGCUGUCGCCAGUAUUGCAAGGGACCUGUGCCAAUCUGUAUAUUCACCAAUGACCUAGAAAAGGAGGGAGUGGUAACGUGAGGGAGCCUGCUGGGUGAAUUUAAGUUACGCAUUACUCCCUCCCAGCUCAGACCUGUGACACUUAAGUUCUCUGCCGGUGCUGGUGCACGGGGAAGCUACAGCUAAGGAUAGAGUUAAGUGCUCCAGGCAAAGCUGCAGUUGCUUGAGAGUGUGGUUUGGGGACAGAGUGGGUGGGACAGGCGAAGGGGUGCUGUGGCUGGGCUGCCACACAGCAGGGCCCUUAUGCUUCUUCCUCUGGUCCUCUGCGCCAGCCAGCACAGUGAUGGUGGGUCCCAGGUGAGGAGUCCCAGCCUGUGCCUCCCAGCAUCGGCUCAACAGGGAUGAUAAGUGCAGCAGAAGAGGGGGACUGCGAAAGCCAAGGUGGUGGUCAGGGUGGGGAAAUCUGCACUUGCCUCUCUCCAUGAGGGCAGCAGUGGUAGUAGAGCCAAGCACAGCUCUGUGGGGUUUCUGCUGUUCUGAUACUGGAGAGAGCAAAGGAUCAAAAAGCCAGGAAAUGGUAUGUUUGCUAGCUCAGCAUAGAAGGAUAGUGUUAAAUAGGGGAAAGACAGGCUGCAAAGGCAGAUGGGCUUGACUGGGAGCAGGUGAGUAAAUGAAAACAGAGAACAACUGAGGGCAUGGCUGUGGGGGAGAAGGAGAACCCAUGCAAUAGGGUGGGUGUAAGAGGGGCAAGUGCUGCAGUUCAGGGAAAAUGAUAUAUGUGUGCUUGCUUGUUCUUCCUCUAAAUAACCAAAAGGCAUCAUCAGAAGAAAAUAGGAGGCAAGAAAAGUAGCAGCAAUGGGAAGAGAGAGGACUUUGCUCUGUUUCAUAGGAGUUUCAGACAACAUGCAGUUCCUUUGAGGAAGAUAUGGAGCAUGGCAGACAUUGUACAAGAAUAAUUUUCAGCCUCACUGUAUCACUAUGCAGUAUGAUCUGACUGAUGACUGCACACAUGGAUCAGCUGAGACUGUAACACUGCUGAGCAAGACAGAUGGGAAAAUGACAUUGAGAAGGCAACACUCGUGCUGCAUAACAAAUUCAAACUUCUUCUUCCAAAACAUGCUGAACUCUCCUAGGAGUAAGAAAAAUGGUAAUUAUCUUUAGUUAAAAGGUUUUCUUUUCCAAAACACUGUCAGUAUUUAAAAGUGUGUUCAUGCUGAAAGUACCUUUUGUGGAAUCCAGAAGAUAUCUUCAAAACAAUUCUAUUUUCCUUACAAAUCUCCUUCAUUUUUCAAGCCACCCUACUGAUUUACCAUUUAGAUGCCAAUAUCUAAGUAUGUCCAAUUACCUCUGUCACCUGAAUAUCCUAUUGCCCAAAAGAUUUAUAUGUCAGGAAUCAAGUUAAGCUUGUCCCCUCAAAUGCGCAACAAUGCAUGCAAAAUCAAAAAUUAAUGAAUACAUUUUCUAAUGACUAUGUCAAUUUACAAAUUUCUGUCACACAAGCUUUUAUGAUUACUAUACUUAACACAGUCCUAUCACUGCUUCUCUUCGUUUUCUCUCCUUUGCAUUUCACAAAGUCCCAAUAAUUUACAUACCUAACACCUAGAAUCCUUGUACUAAGAUAUAUUUGGUAAUCAAUAAUUAAACUAAAUAACAAAUAGUCAUAAUUUUGUCGUUACAUAUGUCUUAUCAUUCUAAACAGAAGUGGCAAUAGUUAAAUGGCUGCACAGUGUUCAAGUUACUUGUAGAAGGGAGAAAUACAAAAGAACAAUUACAAGCCAAAGUCAGUUACAGAAUAAUUUCCAGAAAUUUAACUAAGAUUUUUAUAAUGAACAGUUGAGGAUCUUUUUCUUACUUUUUUGGCAAAGGGCACUGUAGGCCUGAGCACUGAGAGACCCUUAGUUCUUUAAAAUUCAUGUAUCUGUGACUAGUAACAUUUGGUUUGUCUUAAAGCAGACACUUGAAGUCAGUUCCAUGUUUAUGAACACAAAUAGGCUCACUGUCUUCCCAUAGCCAUGGGCACCUGAGUAUGAAGAGGAGAUCCUUUUGUAAGAAAUGGGACAAAUGGAAAGAUGGACAUCUCUGACCUUUAAGGCUAAAAGUGUUAAAAUUUUAAAACAAACUGUUGGAUUCCCUGAGGUUUCCUCAAUGAUUAUGCACUUUACUCCUUUCCCCAACAUGAGAUGCCUCGCUUCCAUAUUCCCAUCAAAGCUUUUUUCCCCAGCUUUGAGUCCACUAUCCUGUGUAGUAGCCCAUGACUGGAAUUACCCUUUUCCAGCACCUCUGGCAACUGCCAUUACCAUAUUUGCCUUUUUUUGCAACUACGUAGUGCACUCAGGACAAGCAGAAUGUCACAUAUUCCCAGUAAUCUUCACUAAGACAUUUUUUCUAAAGAAAUUAAAGACUCCUGAGAAUUCACUGUCCAGACUUCUCCUGAAGUUUGCUCCUCGUUUGCUUUGCAAGACCCAAAACUUCACCCUGGAAUCCCCUUAAUAACAAUCCCCACACAAAACUCCAGACAAGAUUCCAUUUUAGCAUCUUCUGCCCUGUCUUUCCAGAGAUAUUUUCUCAGCAGACUUAUAAUUGACCGAGGUCUCGGCCCUCUUCCUAAAUAAACUUUUGCCAGGCAGAGCACUCUCCUCCCACUGUGGUCUCCCAUUUCCUCUUUCAAAGACUCUUUUGCAGGAGAGUCUAAGAUUAUGUUUAUCUGCUUGUCCCCAGAAGGAGAUAACUGAGGGUUAACCAGGCUCCUUGAUUUUUCUGGUAACAUGAAUUGUACAUACCUCAUCGCAGGUUCUCCAAUAUCCUCCUUUCCUGUUUCUUUAUGCUUUCUGUUACAAUCCUAGCAAGUGUGCCUUCCUGCCAAUCCUCCACAUCUGUUUUUGCCUCUUCCUAUGCUGGACUCCGAUCCUUCUGUGCUUUUCCAGUCUCCUUCUACACGUCUGUAUCCCCUCCACUCCUGGCUUCGAUGGUUUGCAACAGCAGUCAGUCAGUCAGUUUCUAAAUGUGAUAAAGCAGCUGUAUGUGAGCAUGACACAGCCAGUAGCUAUAGUAACAGGAAAGCAUACUUUAAACAAAAACGAAACAAAAAAAAAUCUGAGCGGUAUCUCUCAUCUUUUCCCCCAUCCCCAAAUAUUGCAGGGUUCCAUAAAUAUCUUCCUGCAAAUCCUCACCUGAUUGUAUGUCCCCCUAGCCCAAGACAGGGUGAGAUAGAAAUAAAACUUUCUUUUGCCUGGCUUAAGGAGGAAAAUAAAUAAGUAAUCACACACAACAAAACUAGAAAGAAAAUAUGAUCUCUUUCCUGGAAAAAGAAAAAAAUAAAUCUGUAAGUUGCAAAUCCGGGAUAGGCAAAAUUGUCACUAUCCCAGUUCUGCCUUAAUUUCUGAUACAGGUUCAGCCAUAGGACCCUUGCGGGCUGUGAAAUUAAUUUCCACUGUUCCCUUUUUAUUGUCUUGUUCUCUUGGUCAUCUUUCCUUCCUGCAGUAAACCAUCAGCAUGA